RNAcentral lists this ribosomal RNA (484 nucleotides) under uncultured bacterium. RNAcentral describes it as "partial 16S ribosomal RNA". It matches the Rfam family "Bacterial small subunit ribosomal RNA", at positions 30 to 507 of the family's 1533-position model. The record is from RNAcentral.
AUUGAACGCUGGCGGCAGGCCUAACACAUGCAAGUCGAGCGGAUGAAGGGAGCUUGCUCCUGGAUUCAGCGGCGGACUGGUGAGUAAUGCCUAGGAAUCUGCCUGGUAGUGGGGGAUAACGUCCGUAAACGUGCGCUAAUACCGCAUACGUCCUGAGGGAGAAAGUGGGGGAUCUUCGGACCUCACGCUAUCAGAUGAGCCUAGGGUGGAUUAGCUAGUUGGUGGGGUAAAGGCCUACCAAGGCGACGAUCCGUAACUGGUCUGAGAGGAUGAUCAGUCACACUGGAACUGAGACACGGUCCAGACUCCUACGGGAGGCAGCAGUGGGGAAUAUUGGACAAUGGGCGAAAGCCUGAUCCAGCCAUGCCGCGUGUGUGAAGAAGGUCUUCGGAUUGUAAAGCACUUUAAGUUGGGAGGAAGGGCAGUAAGUUAAUACCUUGCUGUUUUGACGGUACCAACAGAAUAAGCACCGGCUAACUUCGUG